GCUGUUUGGAAGGACACACUGGUAAUUGAAUUUGGUGUAAUUACACUGUCUUGUCCUGUUUGGAAGGACAUGUAAUUACUUGGUUAGCAGGUAAUUGGUGUAAUUGGCAGGGGGUAAUUACACUCUACAAUUCACAGGCAGAGGCUGUGAAUUGCUGGUAAUUACAUGGUGUAAUUACCACCUGAUUACUUUUUAAUUUCUUUUUUU
Molecule: long non-coding RNA, 207 nt
Filed under: Solanum tuberosum (potato)
Lineage: Eukaryota; Viridiplantae; Streptophyta; Magnoliopsida; Solanales; Solanaceae
Description: long non-coding RNA (STUB_LNC001582)
Source: RNAcentral